Molecule: transfer RNA, 73 nt
Organism: Caenorhabditis elegans
Lineage: Eukaryota; Metazoa; Nematoda; Chromadorea; Rhabditida; Rhabditidae
Source: Ensembl
GUCCAAGUAGCUCAGGCGGGUAGAGGGAUAACAAUGGGGAAAUAGGUCCGGGGUUCGAGUCCCCGCUUGGGUC